Molecule: ribosomal RNA, 222 nt
Filed under: uncultured bacterium
Lineage: Bacteria
Description: partial 16S ribosomal RNA
Rfam family: Bacterial small subunit ribosomal RNA
Source: RNAcentral
UCCCAUAAACCCUGCCCCAGUUCGGAUAGAGGUCUGCAACUCGACCUCUUGAAGUCGGAAUCGCUAGUAAAUCGCGGGUCAGCAUACCGCGGUGAAUACGUUCUCAAGUCUUGUACUCACCGCCCGUCAAGUCAAGGAAGUUGGGAGUACCCGAAGGUCCGUCUAGAACGGGACGAAGGUAAACUCAAUGACAGGGACUAAGUCGUAACAAGGUAACCGUAA